Molecule: non-coding RNA, 909 nt
Organism: Peromyscus maniculatus bairdii (prairie deer mouse)
Lineage: Eukaryota; Metazoa; Chordata; Mammalia; Rodentia; Cricetidae
Source: RefSeq, a predicted model, not a curated record
UCUGCCUGCACUCGCCAUGCUCCCCACCAUGAUGACAAUGGACUGAACCUCUGAAACUACCCAGACAUAGUAGGUGGCACACAGUCGUGGUCCCAGCACUUGGGACUCUGAGGCAAGCUCGUGAUGAAGGAGAGAGGAAGGAAGAAGAAAAGGAAGAGAAGGAAGAGGAGAAGGAAGAGGAGAAAUCCCAGAACAGUGGGAACUGAGCUAUGCUGAGUUGUGACCCUUUGUUCUCAAGAAGAAAAUGACUCAGAGCGAAGGAGACCAGCGCCAGCCUGGAGGAAGUGUGCCCAGGUCCCUCACCUGCUCCAGACGCGCUGUCUGGGGCCUGUCAGCAGAAAGCCUGCUCCAGCUUCCGCUGCUAUUGUUCAACACUCCCGCUCUCCCGAUAACCCAGCUCUGGGAACCGCUGCCCAGACGGCCUACGCUGCCGCAGGCAGGGUCCUGGUCUGUGAGGGUCACGCUUCCAAAUGAGGCCUGGGAAGAGCAGACUGAAAAGAAUCAGCCUGAGGUUGGAGGUUACUGCAGUCUACAGCAAGUCCAAACACUGGAGACAAAUGCAAUCUGUUGAAUAACUGUUAAAACUAAAGAAAAUUAGCCUCUGAAAGUAGGGGGUUAGGCUACUGAAUUGUCCAGAAAACCAGCUGUCCCAGCUCUUUUGAGACUCUCCUAGUUGUGGUCAGUUUAGGAAGAUGAUCAAGAAACCAUUGGACAAAAUACCUAAAACACUGUAUUUGAAAGCAUGGGUUAGAGGUUCAUUGUCCUAAGGGACUGUUGGUGUUCUCAGACAUUUUGCAAUUUUUUCGUUUAAGAAUUAUAUCCUUCCAGAGCUUUUACACAGAAAAACCCUCUCUCAAGAAUCCAAAACCAUGAAAAACCAAAAAAAAAAAUUAUAUGCUUAUAUCAAUA